RNA transcript from Motacilla alba alba, 1464 nucleotides. It is a transcript of the gene named MINDY lysine 48 deubiquitinase 1, with no coding region annotated. NCBI's taxonomy places the organism in Eukaryota, Metazoa, Chordata, Aves, Passeriformes, Motacillidae. The record is from RefSeq and is a predicted model, not a curated record. The transcript has 10 exons.
CCCGAGUGAUCGUUACUGCGUGAAGUGGAUCCGCUGGAGGGGACAGCGCACGGCCCUGGUGACCCAGAGCCAGAACGGGCCCUGCCCGCUCCUGGCCGUCAUCAACGUCCUCCUCCUGCGGGGCAAGGUGAAGCUGCCCCCGCAGAAGGAGGUGGUGACGGCCGAGGAGCUGAUGGCACAUUUGGGGAAUUGCAUCCUGGCCACCCAACCCCGGGACACCUCGGAGGGGCUGCAGCUGAACUUCCAGCAGCUCUCCACGGGGCUGGACGUCAACGUCAGGUUCACGGGGGUCUCAGAUUUCGAGUACACCCCCGAGUGCAUCGUCUUCGACCUCCUCGACAUCCCGCUCUACCACGGCUGGCUGGUGGACCCCCAGAGCCCGGAGCAGGUCCAGGCCGUGGGCAAGCUCAGCUACAACCAGCUGGUGGAGAAGAUCAUCACCGGCAAACACGCCAGCGACUCGGGCCUGGUGAGCGAAGCGCUGGUGGCGGAGCAGUUCCUGGAGGCCACGGCCUCGCAGCUGACCUUCCACGGGCUGUGCGAGCUGACGGCGCGCGCCCGCGAGGGCGAGCUCGGCGUCUUCUUCCGCAACAACCACUUCAGCACCGUGACCAAGCACGAGGGCCACCUUUACCUGCUGGUGACCGACCAGGGCUUCCUGCGCGAGGAGGCGGUGGUGUGGGAGAGCCUGCGCGGCGUGGAUGGGGACAGCUGCUUCUGCGACGCCGAGUUCCGCCUCAGCCGCCCCCUGGGCGAGGAGGGGACCGCCAUGGCCCCCCGGGGCCACCGGCGACAAGUGGAGCAGGAUUACCUGGUGGCCUUGUCGCUGCAGCAGGGACAGGGCCCCUGCUCCGUGCUCAGCGACCUGGAGCUGGCGCGGCAGCUGCAGCACGAGGAGUACCAGCAGCACCAUCCUCACCCUCCUCAUCCUCAUCCUGCUCCUCAGCUGCUGCCGGCGCAGGCGGGCGGGGAGCGGCGGCCGCGGCAGAGGCCGGAUUUGGACUGCACCCUCCUGUAGCACCUCGUGCCCCCCAGCCACAGCCCCCCCAGACCCCCCUCUGCAUCCUCCCGGGACAUCCUGGGGGUCCCUGUGGGGCUGGAGAUGGGGGUGACCAUCUGAGCCCCCCCAGACCCCCCUCUGCAUCCUCCAGGGACAUCCUGGGGGUCCCUGUGGGGCUGGAGAUGGGGGUGACCAUCUGAGCCCCCCGAGACCCCCCUCUGCAUCCUCCAGGGACAUCCUGGGGGUCCCUGCGGGUUGGAGAUGGGGGUGACCAUCUGAGCCCACCCCAGGAGCACCCCAAACUUCCCAGUGGCCUUAACGCAGGGGGGGUCUCACUCAGGGGGUCCCACACCUCAGCCCACGCCCCAGGACACGGGUGGGUGUGUGGGUGGGGGGCACAGGGACCCCCCCCCCCGCUCAAAAUGUGGCCUUAGCCCUUGGCAAGUAAAGGAUUUGUCCCCCUG